This is a long non-coding RNA of Labrus bergylta (ballan wrasse), 1332 nucleotides long. RefSeq lists it as uncharacterized. NCBI's taxonomy places the organism in Eukaryota, Metazoa, Chordata, Actinopteri, Labriformes, Labridae. The record is from RefSeq and is a predicted model, not a curated record.
CCUUCUUCCUAUAGAACAUGUCCCUAUAAAACCUUUACAUCGCGUAUGUCCUCACUACAGCGUCCCCAAAAAACCGGUUUGAACGCCAGAGCAGCAGCUGCAGGUCUUUAGAGCCGCCCCAGCUCUUUCCUCCGUCACAACCCACCUCAAACCACAUCAGCAGACAUGAUCAUCAGACUGGGCAGACUGACACCUGGAUACUUCCGCCUCCUGCAGAGGCAAGUUGCCGGCGAGGUGCAGACGCAGCCACAGGACCGCGCCGUCAACCAGAUCGCCAUGAUGCUGGCCAUCAUGGGCCUGAGCUUGUCCUACUACAGUGCCAAACAGAUGACGGAGAAGGUCCAGACCCAGCCUGCACCCUGAACGGACUUGACCGCUCUAAUCAAUUAGAAAAUGGAUGAGCCGAUGAGCAGUGAAGGAGGUGGAGCCAGGACCACACUUUUCUCACCUCACAGUCAUAGUCACAGUCAGACAUUGAAUUUCUGGGAUCCCUCACUCAACAUGCACAGAGACUUCAGGGCUGCUGCAAAGGGGGUUUCUCUACUUCCUGUUGUCAGGACCUGAAGGGGUUUGUGGGGCGCUCACUUGGGGCUGUGGAGAGGACUGGUUAAAGGACUGGGGGGGAAAUAAAAUCCAGCUGUUUGACCAUUAGUUGUUACAAAGGUACAUUCUUACAAGAUGUUGCCAAUGCUGUUCUGAGCUUAAAAAGGGGGAAAAUCUAAAAAACUGUGAAUUUAGCAAGUGUUCAAAUCCUGUCGCUAAAGGGUUAAAAAAUCAGAACAGUGAUGGAUAAAGAAAGGCUGACUGCUACUGAGAUGUACCUUUUAACAAAGUGAUGGCAGGCACAAGACAUGCUUGAAGGAGGUUAAAAAAAAUUCACUCAACCGUUCUAGGGUUUUUUUUGUCUUUUUGUUUCCACCAUGAGAACCUUGCAGAGAGCUGUUUUCACAAACUGUCCAUAAAUAUUUGUGUGAAAUGUUUCUGUCAGAGUCUCAGAGAAUAUUUGCACAAAAGUGCAGCCAUGUUUUAAAUGCUACAAUAGAUCUGCAAAGGGAUUUAAAACUACUCACUACCUUUUUUUUUCCUGUGAUUUUGCUGUUUUUAACAACUUUAUGAACUCCUGUUGAGAAGAAUUGUGACUAACUUGAUAAGAACUCUUCCUGCAGCAUCUACAUUUAAACGUGUAACUGUAACAGAGUAGUGCAUGGGUGUGCAGACUUUUAAUCAAAGAAAACAAAAUCAAGAGUCUGUCUUGUUUUUAUUGAUGAAAUGAAUGUAUAUCUUUAUUUUGUAAUGAUUUAAUAAAGCUGUGAAUAUUUUGAACGAGCAUAA